RNAcentral lists this small nuclear RNA (92 nucleotides) under Phascolarctos cinereus (koala). The record is from RNAcentral. Lineage: Eukaryota; Metazoa; Chordata; Mammalia; Diprotodontia; Phascolarctidae.
GUACUCAUUUCAGCAGCACAUAAUGAUACAGAGAUUAGCAAGGCCUCUGCUUAAGGAUGACACACUUCAUAUUUUUGGAACUCAAAAUUUUU